RNAcentral lists this non-coding RNA (1013 nucleotides) under Oreobates heterodactylus (Caceres robber frog). Its description in RNAcentral is "partial 12S ribosomal RNA". The stretch from base 143 to 987 matches the Rfam family "Bacterial small subunit ribosomal RNA". The record is from RNAcentral. Lineage: Eukaryota; Metazoa; Chordata; Amphibia; Anura; Strabomantidae.
UUAUAGCGCUGAAGAUGCUGAGAUGGAGCUCAUAAGCUCCUUUAAACACAAAGGCUUGGUCCCGACCUUACAAUCAAUUACUACUUAACUUACACAUGCAAGUCUCCGCACCCCCGUGAAAACGCCCUAAACCCCUUAUACUAGGAAAAGGAGCCGGCAUCAGGCACAAUAAUCUGCCCAAGACGCCUAGCAACGCCACACCCACAAGGGUCCUCAGCAGUGAUAAACAUUGAAAAUAAGUGUCAACUUGAUUCAGUCAAAGUUAUUAGAGUCGGCAAAUCUGGUGCCAGCCGCCGCGGUUACACCACAGACUCAAAUUGAUUUUCCCAUCGGCAUAAAAUGUGAUUUAAGUCCCCCAACCCACUAGAGUCAAACCACUACUAAGUCGUUACAAGCUUGUACUAAGAAGAUCAUAAACGAAAGUUACUCUAUCCCCCUUGAACUCACGAAAAUUUGGAUACAAACUAGGAUUAGAUACCCUACUAUGCCAAAUAGUAAACUUUAACUUACACCUAAAUCGCCAGGGAAUUACGAGCUAAGCUUAAAACCCAAAGGACUUGACGGUGCCCCAUAUCCCCCUAGAGGAGCCUGUCCUAUAAUCGAUAACCCCCGUUCAACCUCACCACUUUUAGCCUAUCAGCUUGUAUACUUCCGUCGUCAGCUUACCGCAUGAGCGCCCCUAAAGUAAGCUCAAUGUUUAACCACCAAUACGUCAGGUCAAAGUGCAGCAAAUAAAGUGGGAAGAGAUGGGCUACACUCUCUAUAAUAGAAAAAACGAAAGACUAUGUGAAAUCUUAAUCCAAAGGCGGAUUUAGUAGUAAAAAGAAGGUAGAGUACCCUUUUUAACCCGGCACUGGGGUGUGUACACACCGCCCGUCACCCUCUUCAUUAAAUAAAAAUCCAGUAAAUAACAUGAUUCUCCCAAACAGAAGAGGUAAGUCGUAACAUGGUAAGUGUAUCGGAAGAUGUACUUGGAAACGAAAUAUAGCUUAACCAAAGCCUCUCGCUUACAA